Ctenocephalides felis (cat flea) is the source of this 108-nucleotide long non-coding RNA. RefSeq lists it as uncharacterized. The transcript is spliced from 2 exons. Lineage: Eukaryota; Metazoa; Arthropoda; Insecta; Siphonaptera; Pulicidae. The record is from RefSeq and is a predicted model, not a curated record.
UCCACGAAAAAGGCAAAAUCUACACCAGCACCCAAAGGCACAAAGGGACGCGGGAGGGGAAGAAAAAGUGAAAAGGUGGAGGAGGCCGAAGAAAAACAAGAAUCAACA